GUUUAGAGUUGCCACCUGGCUGGUCAAAAUGAUGCUUGAUGCCAUUGUUAUUAAUAGGAAAAAAAGGGCAAGAAUAUAGGAAGGCCGGUAUUUUUUUCCAGAUCAGGUAGCAACACUUGUAAUGUUCUCCUAUCUUGAUUGAUAGGGGAACUACGAGAAGAACGUUUUUUUGGAUGGAUUUUCCUUAUAAAACAAAUGGGGGGCAGUUUAAUGUCAUUUGUACAGCAGUUCCCACAUCCCAUACAGGAACCAAUCCAAGCAGGAAUAAUCAGCCUAUCACGGCCCAGCUUUUCAUGCACUACAAUACUAAGGAUCCCACCUGGCUGUCAGGCAUAAGGGAAGGAAAACUCUGGUGCAACAAAGCUGGAGGGCUCCAGAAUACAGCAGGAAUACACAGGCCUCACAUAAUACAGAGGACUGUUCCUUUUAUGUGACCCAGUGUCAACAACAGUAAAAUCCAAGCUGCAGCCUUCCUGAGUGCAGCCGCCUGUGAAAUAAGCAUCUGAAAACGAGUGAUCACUACACUGUUGUAGUGACAGAACUGUAACUCCCAGGAGGACUCGUGGCUUUUAAUACUCUCCAGACAUCACCUGCUCAGUGUCUUUUCGCAGCUUCGCAGUUCGGGACUUCGACUAUUCGGGACUUCGGCGGUUCAGGACUUCAGAAGAGGAGGCAUGGCUUUGGCGCUGUCAAGGGGGCUAUUUCGAAAAGUGCAGCACAGCUGGGCCCCCUUUUAGGCCCGGGCCCGGUACAGUACCCCCUGUGCCCCCCUGAUGGCGUCCCUGAGGAGAGGUUUAAUGGGGCCAGUGAUCCCCAUUUGGAAGCUGGAAAGAGUCAGAAGAAGAAGGAAAAUAAUUCAAAAACUAUACAUUGCUUAGAAUUAGACAUUCUAUAACAUGUUAAAAGUUAAAGGAAAACUAUACCC
Long non-coding RNA from Xenopus laevis (African clawed frog), 925 nucleotides. RefSeq lists it as uncharacterized. NCBI's taxonomy places the organism in Eukaryota, Metazoa, Chordata, Amphibia, Anura, Pipidae. The transcript is spliced from 3 exons. The record is from RefSeq and is a predicted model, not a curated record.